CAGUAGCCGCGGUAAUACAGAGGGUGCGAGCGUUAAUCGGAUUUACUGGGCGUAAAGCGUGCGUAGGCGGCUUUUUAAGUCGGAUGCGAAAUCCCUGAGCUUAACUUAGGAAUUGCAUUCGAUACUGGGAAGCUAGAGUAUGGGAGAGGAUGGUAGAAUUCCAGGUGUAGCGGUGAAAUGCGUAGAGAUCUGGAGGAAUACCGAUGGCGAAGGCAGCCAUCUGGCCUAAUACUGACGCUGAGGUACGAAAGCAUGGGGAGCAAACAGGAUUAGAUACCCCCGUAGUCCCUGUCUCUUAUAC
This 301-nucleotide ribosomal RNA is filed under the name uncultured bacterium. RNAcentral describes it as "partial 16S ribosomal RNA". It matches the Rfam family "Bacterial small subunit ribosomal RNA", at positions 509 to 807 of the family's 1533-position model. The record is from RNAcentral.